This 821-nucleotide ribosomal RNA is filed under the name uncultured bacterium. RNAcentral's name for it is "bacterial SSU rRNA". The stretch from base 1 to 537 matches the Rfam family "Bacterial small subunit ribosomal RNA", at positions 63 to 873 of the family's 1533-position model. The record is from RNAcentral.
CGAGCGACGAGUAAGUGCGGGUAACCAAGCCUAUUACGGAGCGGCGAACGGGUGAGUAACACGUGAGCAACCUGCCCCGAAGACCGGGAUAGCCCAGGGAAACUUGGAUUAAUACCGGAUACCCUCGGAGGGCCACAUGGUCCCACGAGGAAAUGCCUUUGUGCUUCGGGAUGGGCUCGCGUCCUAUCAGCUUGUUGGUGGGGUAACGGCCUACCAAGGCGUCGACGGGUAGCUGGUCUGAGAGGACGAUCAGCCACACUGGGACUGAGACACGGCCCAGACUCCUACGGUAGGCAGCAGCAGGGAAUUUUGCGCAAUGGGCGAAAGCCUGACGCAGCAACGCCGCGUGGGGGAUGAAGGCCUUCGGGUUGUAAACCCCUUUCAGGAGGAACGAAAUUGACGGUACCUCCAGAACAACCCCCGGCCAACUACUUGCCAGCAGCCUGGGGAAUACUUAUGGGGCGAGGGUUCUUCGGAAUUAUUGGGCGAAUUCAUUCCUCCUGAAACGGAUUUACUCCCCGAAGGACAUCCUCCGCCCAACCUUGUUCCUGCCUCCGGUUUUGCUCUGUUGAGAAUAAUUUCCAGGAGAUGCCACCUCCAGGAGUCUGGGCGGAGUGUCAAUACCAGUGUGGGUGAUCGUCCUCUCAAAGCAGCUACCUGUCCACGCCUUGGUACGCCGUUACCCCACCAACAAGCUGAUAGGACACGAGCCCAUCCGGAAGCACACAGGCAUUUCCUCGUGGGACCAUGUGGCCCUCCGAGGGUAUCCGGUAUUAAUCCAAGUUUCCCUGGGCUAUCCCGGUCUUCGGGGCAAGUUGCUC